RNAcentral lists this ribosomal RNA (285 nucleotides) under Bacillus sp. MH1.1. Its description in RNAcentral is "partial 16S ribosomal RNA". It matches the Rfam family "Bacterial small subunit ribosomal RNA", at positions 83 to 357 of the family's 1533-position model. The record is from RNAcentral. Lineage: Bacteria; Bacillati; Bacillota; Bacilli; Caryophanales; Bacillaceae.
UCCCUUAGGUCAGCGGCGGACGGGUGAGUAACACGUGGGUAACCUGCCUGUAAGACUGGGAUAACUCCGGGAAACCGGGGCUAAUACCGGAUGCUUGAUUGAACCGCAUGGUUCAAUCAUAAAAGGUGGCUUUUAGCUACCACUUACAGAUGGACCCGCGGCGCAUUAGCUAGUUGGUGAGGUAACGGCUCACCAAGGCGACGAUGCGUAGCCGACCUGAGAGGGUGAUCGGCCACACUGGGACUGAGACACGGCCCAGACUCCUACGGGAGGCAGCAGUGGUCA